AUGGUGGGCACUCUAAGGAGACUGCCGGUGACAAACCGGAGGAAGGUGGGGAUGACGUCAAGUCAUCAUGGCCCUUACGGCCUGGGCUACACACGUGCUACAAUGGUCGGUACAGAGGGUUGCCAAGCCGCGAGGUGGAGCUAAUCCCAUAAAACCGAUCGUAGUCCGGAUCGCAGUCUGCAACUCGACUGCGUGAAGUCGGAAUCGCUAGUAAUCGCGAAUCAGAAUGUCGCGGUGAAUACGUUCCCGGGCCUUGUACACACCGCCCGUCACACCAUGGGAGUGGGUUGCACCAGAAGUAGCUAGUCUAACCUUCGGGAGGACGGUUACCACGGUGUGAUUCAUGACUGGGGUGAAGUCGUAACAAGGUAGCCGUAGGGGAACCUGCGGCUGGAUCACCUCCUUAAUCGACGACAUCAGCUGCUCCAUAAGUUCCCACACGAAUUGCUUGAUUCAUUGAAGAAGACGAUAAGAAGCAGCCCGAAAUUGGGUCUGUAGCUCAGUUGGUUAGAGCGCACCCCUGAUAAGGGUGAGGUCGGCAGUUCGAAUCUGCCCAGACCCACCAAUUUUGUGUGGGAAACGCCUGUAGAAAUACGGGGCCAUAGCUCAGCUGGGAGAGCGCCUGCCUUGCACGCAGGAGGUCAGCGGUUCGAUCCCGCUUGGCUCCACCACUACUGCUUCUGAAGUUUUAAAGCUUAGAAAUGAGCAUUCCAUCAGUGUGAUGGUGAAUGUUGAUUUCUAGUCUUUGAUUAGAUCGUUCUUUAAAAAUUUGGGUAUGUGAUAGAAAGAUAGACUGAACGUUACUUUCACUGGUAACGGAUCAGGCUAAGGUAAAAUUUGUGAGUUCUCUUAGUUGAGAAAUUCGAAUUUUCGGCGAAUGUCGUCUCACAGUAUAACCAGAUGCUGG
Molecule: small RNA, 907 nt
Filed under: Pseudomonas sp. enrichment culture clone TBC
Lineage: Bacteria; Pseudomonadati; Pseudomonadota; Gammaproteobacteria; Pseudomonadales; Pseudomonadaceae
Also listed under: 1 other name
Description: bacterial SSU rRNA
Rfam family: Bacterial small subunit ribosomal RNA (bases 1-406)
Source: RNAcentral